UGCGAGUGUCGUUUUUCUAUCGAUAAACGACUUUUAUCGAUAGUCGAACAUCAAAAAUACAUUUUGGUAUUGCGAAACUCUAUUGUGAAUGAAAAUUUUCGUCUAGGCUUUCGAUCGUUAUCGUCUGCAUAUUUCUGUUCGACUGCGUACAACGCGUAUAAUUUUUUGGACAAAAAUGGCAAAAGUUGUGAGCAGUAAAAAACAAUUAGAAAAGCUGGUUUCAUUAAUGGAAGCGAAUCCGGACAUCGCUAAAGGAAUUUGCGGAAAAGCCAUAGCAAAAAAAAGGUGGGAAAAGUUUACUGCAGAGCUAAACAGUCUUGGGCCUCCUAUACGCACCUGUGAUAAAUGGAUUAAUGUUUGGGCAGAUCUAAAAUUUAAAAUAAAAAAAAAGGACUGAAAAUAAGACCGAGAUCCAGGCGACUGGUGGUGGGCCCAACCGUUUGCACCAGUUCAGUAACUUGGAGGAAAGUGUAAUGGGAUUACUUUUUAUGGAUGUCUCCAUUGAUCCACCUGGCCUGGAGAUUGGACUAGAAAUUCCAGACAGCCUAAAGAAUAAUGAGAAUGACAUUAAUAAGGACAAUAUGGAAGUCGAAGAAGACCCAGAUAUGAUUAAUAUUGAUUUGUCCGAAAAUUUUUCAUCGGAGAAUUCAACUCGCUUUAGAAGUUCUGAGAAAAAAAGAACAAAAAAAACAAACGAAGACGAAAGAAUUGCACUUUUGAUGAAGCAAACAGAUGCUCAAGAAGAUUUUCAUAAGGAAGUCAAAGCUGCAAUAAAAGAUCUGAAAAGGAAAAUUGGAAGCUUCGAAGAGUAUUCCAAGAAGAUUUAUUAUCAAAAAAAAGAUAAACAUAAGGAUCUACUGGCUAUCAAGAGGGAAAAACUCCAACUUUAUAAGGACGAAUUGAAUUGCAAACAAAAAAAUAGGGCAGCGAAGCUAAAACUGUUGCAACAAAAAUUGGAACUAAAAAAAUCUGAAAUCGAUUUAAAGUUGUCAAAGAUUUAAAUCCUCUUUUUUUUUGUAUGAUUUUUGGUUCGUAAGUGUUCCUUUUCUGUUAAACUGAAGUAUUUUUUGU
This is a long non-coding RNA of Eupeodes corollae, 1071 nucleotides long. RefSeq lists it as uncharacterized. Lineage: Eukaryota; Metazoa; Arthropoda; Insecta; Diptera; Syrphidae. The transcript is spliced from 3 exons. The record is from RefSeq and is a predicted model, not a curated record.